CUGAUGCUCGCCUUCAAGAUUUCUCGAGGGCUGCACGGUUCCUGUGGAACUCGCUUCCCUCCUCCGUUAGAUGCUCACCCAGUCUCCACUCCUUCAAAAAAAUCGCUAAAAACCCACUUCUUCAUAAAAGCGUAUCAAUUAAACUAUUAAUAGCUCCUGACUGAUUCCUCUUCUGCAACUGUCAGUCUAAUACUAUCCUUACCUUUUUGUGUCAUUUUACCCCACUCCCUCUAGCAUGUAAGCUCAUUGAGCAGGGCUCUCAACCCCUCUGUUCCUGUGUGUCCAACUUGUC
Non-coding RNA from Pelobates cultripes (western spadefoot toad), 292 nucleotides. The record is from the annotation of a GenBank genome assembly. NCBI's taxonomy places the organism in Eukaryota, Metazoa, Chordata, Amphibia, Anura, Pelobatidae.